Molecule: long non-coding RNA, 547 nt
Organism: Solanum pennellii
Lineage: Eukaryota; Viridiplantae; Streptophyta; Magnoliopsida; Solanales; Solanaceae
Exons: 3
Source: RefSeq, a predicted model, not a curated record
ACUAGAGCCAGUUGCUCUUUGUCGACAUACCCCUUCUGCUAGGGGUAUUUUUGUCUUUUCCAGUAUAGCUACACUUGGCAUUGAAUAUUCUACUGCUUAAUACAGUGCUUAUUAUUUCUCACAUAAGAACCGCCAAUUUUUGGUCUUCUUCCUGGUAACUCCUCUGCAUCUGGCUGUGAGAUUUCUAUUUGAAGAGGCAAACAUCGACUGUAACAAACUGGUGCAUGUAUGAUUGUUUAACUAAAAAGCUAUGUUCGACAAACAUCUCAAUCUUGAAUAUUCAUCUUCUGCAAUCAUUUUGUGCCUCACUUCGGAGAGUGCCUUAAUUGUUUCUCCAUCAUUGCAUCAGACUGUUCUAUUAUUUAUGGUGAGGUGCAUUUGAAUUUUGUUUUUUCUUGUGUGUUUGUAUUGUAUCAACUAAUAUUGCAUAUGUAGAGUUAUUUCUUUCUUGUCUCUUGCUCCGAUUUUUUGUAGUUCAUGUUAAUUUAGUUCAUUGUGGGAUGAAUUGAACUUCAAUCUCGGAAAAUAAGUGUUAUCGAUCUUCUUA